RNAcentral lists this long non-coding RNA (11000 nucleotides) under Solanum lycopersicum (tomato). Its description in RNAcentral is "long non-coding RNA (SLYC_LNC000596)". The record is from RNAcentral. Lineage: Eukaryota; Viridiplantae; Streptophyta; Magnoliopsida; Solanales; Solanaceae.
ACACUUCAAAGUAAAAAUGGAAACCACCACCACCACCACCUCCACCGCUGCCACCACCAUCACCACCACCAUUAACAACGGCGUUCUUCACUCCAUCGAGGUCAAUCCACGACACCACAUCCUCAACCGUGCAUUUGCACUUAUUUACCUUUUUGCCAUCCUAGUUCUUUUCUAUAACCAUAUAAUAAAACUCCUAAAUUCCACAAAUUCCUUUAUAACUUUCUCCAUAUCAUUUUCCAUCUUAAUUUCAGAUAUAAUCUUAGCCUUUAUGUGGACAACUAUUCAAUCUUUUCGUAUGCAUCCACUAACACGUCAACAAUAUCCUGAAAAAAUAACCAAAAACUUUAGUAACGAAAUUAAUAAUUUUCCGCCACUCGAUAUAUUUAUUUGUACGGCAGAUCCUUAUAAGGAGCCACCGUUAAACGUCGUUAACACGGCGUUAUCAGUUAUGGCAUACGAUUAUAAUCCAAUCGAAAAAAUAUCGAUUUACGUAUCGGACGAUGGAGGAUCGGAGCUUACGUUAUUUGCUUUUAUGGAAGCUGCAAAAUUUGCUGUAUAUUGGUUGCCUUUUUGUAGGGAAAAUAAAAUAAUUCAAAGGUCUCCAGAUGCAUAUUUCAAUUCUAAUUACUUACAAAAUUUUGAGACAAAGAAAAUUAAGGUAUGUUUUUUUUUCCCUCUAGAAUUUAUAUUACUAAACAGAACGUCUAACGUUUAAUAAUUUUCUUAAUUAAUAAUAAAAAGUUGGUUGAUUUUUAAUAUUACUAAAUCAUGAUUAUAAUGUUUGAAUUUUUAAAAAGUAUCUUAACGUAUAUGUUGGAUAUUCCUUCAAAAAUAUAUCAUUACUAUUUUGAUAUGAUGAUAUUUUUAAAAAUUCGAGUAAUAUAGUAAAAAGGAGAUUUUUGGUACUGUUAUUUCUGCAAGCAUGCAUGUGCGAUGUACAUUUAAUUUAUAUUAUAGCUUGCGUUUGAGAUCUGGCUAAGUUUAUUUAUGAGAUAUUUUGGUAAAUUUGUCGUAUAUUACAAUUAUUGAUAAAGGAACGUAUAGGUUUGGUACGAUCUAUUUUAUGGUCUAUUAUAAAUAUUAUUUUUAGUUAUAUUAUAUGGUCUUCUCUAUAGGAUGUCAGGUCCCAAUUAAUUAAUAUAGUAUGUGGUAACUUUUGCUUUUCGAAAUUUGAUUAUCUAUGGUUUAAAGUUAAAUAGGUUUUGAUUAAAUUAAUAUUAGUUAAAAUGUUUAUCAAAGUUUAGAUAAUAUGAGUCUUAAAAAUUGAAAAAUAUAACAUGUAUGAGAAAGAAAUAGUUUUAUAUAUAUAUGAAAUUUUUAUAUAGAUAUUUUUUUUCUAUUUAAUUAAAUAUUAUUUGUGAUGGAAAAUCAUGAUUCUCGCUAAGGAAAAUAACAAAGAAUAUUUGUCCUUUAUCUUACACCAUAUUUCAUAUUUUUAUGUAUUUUCGUUCUUUAAGAUUCAAGUUACGUCGUAUUUUAAUCAAUAGAAUAUAUUUAUAUAAGAAGAUAAGCAACUUGCAAUUUGAUUGACUAGUAUCUGGCCUGAGUUCAUUUUAUCAAUUAUCUAAACAUAUUUUAUAUAUUUAUUGAUUUGUCAUUUUGUUUUUGAAUUCAAUCUUUGUGACGCUAUAGCUGAAGGAAAAAAAACCCAGAUAUUUUCUCUAAUUUGUAAUUAUUCGCUUAGAAGUCAGCAAAAUAGCUAAACUAGUAGUAUAUAGGAUAUGCUCAUAUAUCAAUAUGUAUUUGUUAUAUAAUGUAUUUGACUAAUAAAUUUAACCAAUAAUGUUGUAACAACUCUUUAAGGACACCUUAUAUUCUUUUAAAAUGUCAUAAAACCUUUUUACUAUUAUGCUAGAAUCUUAUCUUAUGUUAUUACAUAACAAAAACAAUUUAUUUUCUUAUGUAAAUCACGUCAUAGAAUUUUAACGAUAGAGAAUAAUAUUUUUAUUUAUCUUUCAGCGUGUUGACUCAAAUUAUUAUCAAAAAACUUUUUUGAUUAUUUAUCUUAUUUUUAAUUGAUCAGCGCGACUCAAACUAUUGUCAAAAAAAAACUUUUUUGAUUAUUUCUUAUUUUCAAUCGAGAAUUUUAUGUGAUACAUAUUAUAUAUGUAGUUGAUGUAUGAAAACAUGAAAGCAAGGAUAGAAGAAGUGAUUGAGAGGGGAAAGGUGGAUGAAGAUUAUAUCAAUAAUGAGGAAGAGCUUCAAGCUUUUACCAAAUAUUGGACUACUUUAUUUUCUCGACAUAAUCAUCCUUCUAUUAUUCAGGUAAAUAUAUAUUAUUAUUUUGAACUUAAUUCUAUAUAACUUGUCACUAUAAUUUUACGCUCAUUUCCUUAUAUAUAAUAUUUUAUCAUUAUUUUAUCGAUACGAGACUUACAUAGGAUAUCAUAUAUAAUUUGGUAAUAUCGUCUACUUGACUUUAUCCUUUUAUCAAAUUGGUUGGUGUAGGUUUUGUUAGAAAGUGGCAAAGACAAAGACAUAACAAGUCAUGGGAUGCCAAAUCUUAUUUAUAUUUCAAGAGAAAAAAACAAGAGUUCACCGCAUCAUUUCAAAGCAGGUGCCCUCAAUGCAUUGGUAAGUAAAAUCUCAUCAAUUUUUAUUCUUAAAAAUAAGGGUAGUAUAUAUCCCUCGACUUUGAGAUAUGGAGGGGAUAUACCCUCGUUAAAAAAUUAAUGUAUACAUACAUUCUAAAUAGCAAAGUCGAUGAAUAUAUUUGCCUCUUUUUCCUAAAAUAUUAUCGAAUUGAUUAUUAAUUUCUUCUUGUGAUAGCUUCGAGUAUCGGGAAUAAUGACAAAUGCACCAAUAAUAUUGACACUUGACUGUGAUAUGUACUCUAAUGAUCCAUCAACACCUCAACGGGCUCUAUGUUACUUCUUGGACCCAACAUUACGGCCCAAUUUAGCCUACGUUCAGUUUCCUCAAACUUUUCAUGGGCUUAAUGAAGCAGAUAUUUAUGCAAGUGAGAUAAAAGGCCUAUUCUUUAGUAAUCCAAUAGGCAUGGAUGGGCUUAAUGGGCCUAAUUAUGUUGGAACUGGAUGUUUUUUUCGUCGUCGGGCCUUUUUCGGGCCUCCGUCUUCGUUUGAGCAGCCCGAAAUUCCAGAACUGUUUCCGGAUCAUGUUGUGAAUAAGCCCAUUAAGGCCCAAGAAAUCUUGCUGCGAGCCCAUUAUGUAGCAAGUUGCAACUAUGAGAGGGAAAGUAAUUGGGGUGCCAAGGUGAGGUUUAUUUUACAUUUUAAGUAAGUGAAUGUAGAGUAUAAUUGCACUAACAACUUUUUUUUUGGUGGCAAUUUGUUCGAACUUACCAUGUGAUAUAUCUACUAUACAUGGUAUAUUCGAACUAGUUCCCACGAAAAAGAAUAAUUGCACUUGUAACUUCUUCGUGGCAAUUGGUUCGAACUUUGUGAAAUAUGUAGAUCAUGUUGCCACGAAAAAAUUGGUAGAAACGAAGACAACAAGUUCAUAAGUCAGGAACUAUGGUGUAUAAUAUAUGUAUAAUCCGUGUUUAAUUUGUAUAUUAUCAGUAUACUCAGUGUAUACUCUAUGUAUCCGGAUAGAAAAAGUAAACAAUGAAUCUGUCGGGCUAACAAUUUCAAAAUUAUGCAGAUGGGCUUUAGGUAUGGAUCACUUGUUGAGGAUUACUACACAGGCUAUAGACUUCAAUGUGAAGGUUGGAAAUCAGUAUUUUGCAACCCUAAAAGGCCUGCAUUUUUAGGAGAUAUACCAAUUUCUCUCUAUGAUGUGGUCAGCCAAAACAAGAGAUGGUCGGUUGGACUUCUUGAAGUUGCUUUAUCAAAAUAUAGCCCAUUGACUUUUGGGGUACAGUCAAUGGGCCUUGUUAUGGCCCAUUGUUAUACUCACUAUGCAUUUUGGCCCAUUUGGUCGAUACCACUUACUAUAUAUGCCUUCAUCCCCCAACUUACUCUUCUCAAUGGGGUUACCAUCUUUCCAAAGGUAUGCACCAAUUCAUUUUGGUCCGUAUUAUAUAUGACUCGGCAUAUUUAACGUUUAAUUAAUUACGUUAUGUGUUUCGGUUCACUUUCAUGUAGAAUAUAUAUUAUAAUAUCGUCAUAUACAAAGCAACACUACUAUAGAGCAUAAAACAUGACUAAUUAAUUGGUGGAACGAUUAGUCUUAUGAUAAAUUUGUGGAUAUUGACCUGCAAAUGAUAUAAAAAUUGUAAUUUUUUUUAAGAUUUAAUGUUCUUUUGAUAUUGAUUUCAGGUUUCAGAUCCUUGUAUUUUCUUAUAUGUUUUCUUAUUCCUCGGAGCGUAUGGACAAGAUUGUUUGGUUUUUAUGUCUAAUGAAGGGACAUUUAAAAGGUGGUGGAGUGACCAAAGAAUGUGGAUGAUAAGGGGAGUAACAUCUUUCCUAUUUGGAACAAUUGAGUAUUUAACUAAACACUUGGGCAUAUCAACACAAGGAUUCAACGUAACAAGCAAAGUAGUCGAUAAUGACCAAGGUAAAAGGUACCAUCAAGGAACUUUCGAGUUUGGGGUUGUUUCACCUAUGUUUGUGAUACUAGCAACCACAUCAAUCAUCAAUUUAGUAGCAUUUCUCAAAUCAUUAGCACAAAUUUUCAAGGGUGAUAAAAAUUUGGAUGGAAUAUUUAUCCAAAUGUUUAUUUCUGGUUUUGUUGUUAUAAAUUGUUUGCCAAUUUAUGAAGCUAUGAUUUUGAGAAGUGAUAAAGGAAGAAUGCCUACAAGGGUCACUAUAUUCUCAACAUUUCUUGCUUGUACUCUCUAUAUAGCAUUUGCUUUUCUUUUAGGAAACAUGUAAUAGCAAAGUUUUAUUCUUGUACUUUGGGACCUUUUGUUAUUGUUCUUGUAGUCUUAUUGGUUUAGUUAAGAAGCAAUAUUAGAUUUAUUUGAAAUAUUCAAGAAUAAAAGGAGUAUUGAGAUUUUAUAUAUAGAAUGAAAGUAUAUUUUUCUCAAUCUUCGUACGAUGAAAAUAAUAAAUAAAAAUAAAAAAUAUUUUUUUUAAUAUAAUGAACACAUAAAAAUAACAAAGAGAACUUUUUGAAAUCCUUCCUAUAAUAGACCCCUCUCACCACAAUAAUCUAUCACUCUAUCAUCUACUCUAAUAACACACUUCAAGCAAAAUGGAAACCACCACCUCCGCCGCCGCCGCCACCACCAAUAACACCAGGGGUCUUCACUCCGUCGUGAUGAACCCACGACACCACAUCCUCAACCGUGCAUUUGCACUUAUUUACCUUUUUGCCAUCCUAGUUCUUUUCUAUAACCAUAUAAUAAAACUCUUAAAUUCCACGAAUUCCUUUAUAACUUUCUCCAUAUCUUUUUCCAUCUUAAUUUCAGAUUUAAUCUUAGCCUUCAUGUGGACAACCAGUCAACCUUUUCGUAUGCGUCCACUAACACGUCAACAAUAUCCCGAAAAAAUAACCAAAAAUUUUAGUAACGAAAUUAAUAAUUUUCCUCCACUCGAUAUAUUUAUUUGUACGGCAGAUCCUUAUAAGGAGCCACCUUUAGACGUCGUUAACACGGCGUUAUCAGUUAUGGCAUACGAAUAUGAUCCAAUCGAAAAAAUAUCGGUUUACGUAUCGGACGAUGGAGGAUCGGAACUCACGUUAUUUGCUUUUAUGGAAGCUGCAAAAUUUGCUGUAUAUUGGUUGCCUUUUUGUAGGGAAAAUAAAAUAAUUCAAAGGUCUCCAGAUGCAUAUUUCAAUUCUAAUUACACGCAAAAUUCUGAGACAGAGAAAAUCAAGGUAUGUUUUUUUUUCCUCUCGAAUUUAUAUUACUAAACAGAAUAUCUUAUAUCUAGUGAUUAUUUUUAAUUAAUAAAUAGAAAUAGUUGAUUUUCAAAUAUAUAUUAUUAUCUGACAUCUAGUGAUUAUUUUUAAUUAAUAAAUAGAAAAUUAGUUGAUUUUCAAAUAUAUAUUUUUACUACUUUGAUAUGUUACUUCUAAGAAUUCGAACAAUAUGAUAUUGUGUAUGAAAGUGAGUAGUGGUUAUGCGGAAGUUUACAUCAUAAAGUAUAUGGUUGAUAGACUACACGACUAGUAAAAGUAUAUUAAAAACAUAUUAUUAAUGUAUCUACAUAUUAUAAAAUUAGUAUUGAAAAACUUAAAUGUAAUUAAAGAAAAUCUUCUCGUAAAUAAAACUCUUUAAACAGCUAAUUAUAAUAUUAUUGUGUUCUGCAAUGAAAAUAAGAAUCUUCAAUUUUUACAUUUCUAAAUUUUUCUUAAAAAAUCAAAUAUGAAAGAAUAUUUUUCUUUUAAAAAAGUUAAAGCAUUUAUGAAGAAAAAAAAGAUACUUCAAAUUUUUUUAAAAAAUAACAUAAGAAAAUCAGGACAAAACUUAAUAUAAAAAAAAACAAGAUUUUUGGCACUGUUAUUUCUACCAAGCAUGCAUGUGCGAUGUAAAGUUUUUUUAUUACAUCCCACGUUUCAGAUAUUUUGAUAUAUUUGUUGUUUAUAACAAUUAUUGAUAAAGAGACAUAUAGGUUUGGUACGAUCGAUUAUGGGACCAUAACUAAUAUUUUGAGUCAUAUUAUAUGGUUUUCUAUAGGAUGAGGGUCCCAACUAAAUAUACAUGGGUUAGCUUUCGCUUUCUAGAAGUUGAUUUGUUUGAUUUAUGUAGUUAAAUUUAAUUAAAUUAAUAAUUAAAAUUUAUAUUAUAAUAUUAUAAAUUAUAAUUUUUUUCACGUUAAUAUGAUAAGAAUAUAUUUUAUAAAAAUAUAUAUUAAAAUUUAUAUAAUUUAAGUCUAAAAAAAUAAAUGUGUUACAAAAACUGAACUAUAAUUAGUAACAUAUAAUAUAGUAAAAAGUUGAUAAAAUCUUUAUAAAACCUUUCCUUUUUCUCUUUAAUUAUAUAUAAUUUGUGAUAGGGAAUCAUGAUUCUUGCGAAGGAAAAUCACAAUUGAAUAUCUUACGUCAUAUCUUGUAUUUUUGUAUAUUUUUAUUUUUUGAAAUUCAAAUUACAUCAUAUUUUAAUUAAUAUUUAAAAUAUAUUUUUACAAGAUAUAGGCAACUUGCAAUUUGAUUGACUAGUAUCUGGCUUGAGUUGAUUCAUCAAUUAUCUGAAUACAUUUCAUGUAUAUAUUGAUUUGUCAUUUUAUUUUUAAUUUCAAUCCUUCUGACGUUAUAGCUAAAAAAAAGAUAUUUUUUUGAUCUGUCAUUAUUUACUUAAAAGACUUAAAAUGGCUAAACAAGUACAUAUUAUAUACUCAUAUGUCGUCUUUCAUUUUAUUUUUUUUUGUUAUAAUGUAUUUGACUAAUGAAUUUCGCCAAAAAUAUUGUAACAACUCUUAUAAGGACACCUUAAUUAUUUUUUAAGAAGUCAUAAAACCUUUUUACUAUUAUACUAGAACAUACCUUGUGUUAUAUAAGAAAAACAUUUUUUUUUCUUAUAUAUGUACAUGAUGGAACUUUGCAUUUAAAAUAGAAAUUUAUUGCUUAUUUUUCAGCGUGAUUCAAGCUAUUAUCAAGGAAGAACUUUUUCUAUUAUUUAUAUUAUCUCCUAUCAAAUUUGAACUUACUUUACUAUAAUUUAUAUUAUAUGGUGUAGUUGAUGUACGAAAACAUGAAGAGAAGGAUAGAAGAAGUGAUUGAGAAGGGAAAAGUGGACGAAGAUUAUAUUAACAAUGAGGAAGAGCUUCAAGCUUUUACCAAAUAUUGGACAUUUGGAUUUACUCGUCAUAAUCAUCCUUCUAUCAUUCAGGUAAAUAUAUAUAUAGUAAUUGUUCAAUUGACUCAUAAUAUUAUCCUAUAGAACUUAAUUCUAUGUAAUUUUAGAAUCUGUCAAUAUAAGACUUGUCUAGAAUAUCACAUAUAUUUUCUGGUAAGAAUUACCCCAUGCACCAUUAUCAAAAUAAUGUAGGAUUCAUCUAAAGGAGUACUGGUUUGAAUAUUAUAUACAACAAUUCAAUCUACUAAUGAUAUUGUCUAUUUGAAUUCUAUACUAGUACAAUUUUAAAAUGUGUCACAAUAAAAAGCAAAAAAAAAAAAAUAGUUAUUAAUUAAAAAUGUUUAACACGUGUUGACAAAAUAGUCUAAUUUGCCUUUAAUUGUUAACAUGUUAUAUUAAGAUCAUAUGUGUGGUUAUUAAUUUGGUACUAUCAUCUUUUUAAUUUAUCCUUUUAUCAAAUUGGUUGGUGUAGGUUUUGUUAGAAAGUGGCAAAGAUAAAGACAUAACAAGUCACGGGAUGCCAAAUCUUAUUUAUUUUUCAAGAGAAAAAAACAAAAGUUUCCCUCAUCAUUUUAAAGCAGGUGCCCUCAAUGCAUUGGUAAGUAAAAAAUCUAAUCAAUUUUACUUAUACACACGUUCUAAAUAGCAAAGUCGAGGAAUAUAUUUGUCACUUUUCCCUAAAAUCUUAUCGAAUUGAUUAUUAAUUUCUUCUUGUGACAUAGCUUCGAAUAUCGGGAAUUAUGACAAAUGCACCAAUAAUAUUGACACUUGACUGUGAUAUGUACUCUAAUGAUCCAUCAACACCUCAACGGGCUUUAUGUUACUUCUUGGACCCAACAUUACGGCCCGAUUUAGCCUACGUUCAGUUUCCUCAAACUUUUCAUGGGCUUAAUGCAGCAGAUAUUUAUGCAAAUGAGAUAAAACCCCUAUUUAUUACUAAUCCAAUGGGCAUGGAUGGGCUUAAUGGGCCUAAUUAUGUUGGAACUGGAUGUUUUUUUCGUCGUCGGGCUUUUUUCGGGCCUCCGUCUUCGUUUGAGCAGCCCGAAAUUCCAGAACUGUUUCCGGAUCAUGUUGUGAAUAAGCCCAUUAAGGCCCAUGAAAUCUUGCGGCGAGCCCAUUAUGUAGCAAGUAGCAACUAUGAGAGUGGAAGUAAUUGGGGUUCCAAGGUGAGCUUUAGUUUACAUUUUAAGUUGGUAAAUGUAGAGUAUAAUUGCACUAGCAACUUCUUUUUGGUGGCAAUUGGUUCGAAUUUGCCACGCGAUAUAUCUAGUAUACAUGGUAUAUUCGAACUAAUUCCCAUGAAAAAAUCGUUUGCACUUAAGGCAAUAUGAGUAUAAUUCCACUAGCAACUUUUUCGUGGCAAUGAGAUCGCACUUGUCACAUAUUUUAGAUCUUGUUGCCACAAAAAAAGUUGGUAGAACUGAAGACAACAUAGUAAAUGUGGUGUAAAAUUGAACCAACGAGACAAUCAUUUCAGACUUUCUGAUUAUCGUUGCCAAUAAAAAUAGCAAUAAUAUAUCAAUCAGAUGUAUAAUACAUGUAUUUUUAAUGUAUAAUCUGUAUAUCAUCAUGUAUGUUAUAUACAAACUAACAAUUUCAAAAUUAUGCAGAUGGGGUUUAGGUAUGGAUCACUUGUUGAGGAUUACUACACAGGUUAUAGACUUCAAUGUGAAGGAUGGAAAUCAGUAUUUUGCAAUCCUAAAAGGCCUGCAUUUUUAGGAGAUAAACCAAUUUCUCUGUAUGAUGUGGUCAGCCAAAUGAAGAGAUGGGAUGUGGGCCUUCUUGAAGUUGCUCUCUCAAAAUAUAGCCCAUUAACUUUUGGGGUUCAGUCCAUGGGCCUUGUUAUGGCCCAUUGUUAUUCUCACUAUGCAUUCUCCCCCAUUUGGUCAAUACCACUUACUCUAUAUGCCUUCAUACCUCAACUUACUCUUCUCAAUGGGGUUACCAUCUUUCUAAAGGUAUGUCCUUUUGAUAUAUGACUCAGCAUAUUUAACGUUCAAUUAAUUGAGUUACGCAUUUUGGUUCCCUUUCAUGUAGAAAAUAUAUUAUAAUAUCGUCAUAUACAAGGCAACACUACAUAUAUAGAGCGUAGCACAUGACUAAUAAAUUGGUAGAACAACUAGUCUUAAGGUAAAUUUGUGGAUAUUGACAUGCAAAUGAAUAAAAAUUGUAAUUUUUUUUUUGAAUGUUUAAUGUUCUUUUUAUAUCGAUUUCAGGUUUCAGACCCUUGGUUUUUCUUGUAUGUUUUUAUGUUCCUUGGAUCGUAUGGACAAGAUUGCUUGAUUUUUAUGUCUAAUGAAGGGACAUUUAAAAGGUGGUGGAGUGACCAAAGAAUGUGGAUGAUAAGGGGUUAACAUCUCACUUAUUUGGAACAAUUGAGUAUUUAACUAAAUACUUAGGCAUAUCGAUACAAGGUUUCAAUGUAACAAAUAAAAUAGUCGAUAAUGACCAAGGUAAAAGGUAUCAUCAAGGAAUUUUCGAGUUUGGGGUUGUUUCGCCUAUGUUUGUGAUACUAGCAACAACAUCAAUUAUCAAUUUAGUAGCAUUCCUCAAAUCAUUAGCACAAAUUUUCAAGAGUGAUCAAAAUUUGGAUGGUAUGUUCAUCCAAAUGUUUAUUGCUGGUUUUGUUGUUAUAAAUUGUUUGCCAAUUUAUGAAGCUAUGGUUUUGAGAAGUGAUAAAGGAAGAAUGCCAACAAGGGUCACUAUUUUCUCAACAUGUCUUGCUUGUACCCUCUAUAUAGCAUUUGCUUUUCUUUUAGGAAACAUGUAAUAGCAAAGUUUUAUUUUUGUACUUUUGGGACCUUUUGUUAUUGUUCUUGUAAUCUUAUUACUUAGUUUAGUUAAGAAGCAAUAUUAGAUUUAUUUGAAAUAUUCAAGAAUAAAAGGAGUACUGAGAUUUUAUAUAUGGAAUGAACAUAUAUUUUUCUCAAUCUUCAUACGAUGAAAAUAAUAAAUAAAAAUAAUUUUUUUUUAAUAUAAUAAACACGUAAAAAUAACAGAGAGAAGUUUUUGAAAUCCCUCCCAUAAAUAGACUCCUCUCACCACAAUAAUCUAUCACUCUAUCAUCUACUCUAAUAAAACACUUCAAGCAAAAAUGGAAACCACCACCUCCUCCUCCGCCGACACCACCACCACCACCAAUAACACCGGGGGUCUUCACUCCGUCGUGAUGAAUCCACGACACCACAUCCUCAACCGUGCAUUUGCACUUAUUUACCUUUUUGCCAUCCUAGUUCUUUUCUAUAACCAUAUAAUAAAACUCCUAAAUUCCACAAAUUCCUUUAUAACUUUCUCCAUAUCAUUUUCAAUUUUAAUUUCAGAUUUAAUCUUAGCCUUCAUGUGGACAACCAGUCAACCU